GACGAACGCUGGCGGCGUGCUUAACACAUGCAAGUCGAACGGAAAGGCCCUGCUUUUGUGGGGUGCUCGAGUGGCGAACGGGUGAGUAACACGUGAGUAACCUGCCCUUGACUUUGGGAUAACUUCAGGAAACUGGGGCUAAUACCGGAUAGGAGCUCCUGCUGCAUGGUGGGGGUUGGAAAGUUUCGGCGGUUGGGGAUGGACUCGCGGCUUAUCAGCUUGUUGGUGGGGUAGUGGCUUACCAAGGCUUUGACGGGUAGCCUGCCUGAGAGGGUGACCGGCCACAUUGGUACUGAGAUACGGCCCAGACUCCUACGGGAGGCAGCAGUGGGAAAUAUUGCACAAUGGGCGGAAGCCUGAUGCAGCAGCGCCGCGUGCGUGAUGACGGCCUUCGGGUUGUAAACCGCUUUCGCCUGUGACGAAGCGUGAGUGACGGUAAUGGGUAAAGAAGCACCGGCUAACUACGUG
Molecule: ribosomal RNA, 468 nt
Filed under: uncultured bacterium
Lineage: Bacteria
Description: partial 16S ribosomal RNA
Rfam family: Bacterial small subunit ribosomal RNA
Source: RNAcentral